UCUGGAAACGGAUGGUAAUACCCGAUAACAUCUCCGGAUCAAAGGUGAGAUUCCGCCUGAGGAUUAGUUUACACACUAUUAGCUUGUUGGCGGGGUAAUGGCCCACCAAGGCGACGAUGGUUACCGGGCGUGAGAGCGUGACCCGGAUCACUGGGACUGAGACACUGCCCAGACACCUACGGGUGGCUGCAGUCGAGAAUCUUCGGCAAUGGACGAAAGUCUGACCGAGCGACGCCGCGUGUAUGAUGAAGGCCUUCGGGUUGUAAACUCCUGUCUUAAAG
This 281-nucleotide ribosomal RNA is filed under the name uncultured rumen bacterium. Its description in RNAcentral is "partial 16S ribosomal RNA". It matches the Rfam family "Bacterial small subunit ribosomal RNA", at positions 149 to 443 of the family's 1533-position model. The record is from RNAcentral.